Molecule: small nucleolar RNA, 141 nt
Filed under: Brassica rapa (field mustard)
Lineage: Eukaryota; Viridiplantae; Streptophyta; Magnoliopsida; Brassicales; Brassicaceae
Description: snoRNA snoR134
Rfam family: small nucleolar RNA snoR134
Source: Rfam by way of RNAcentral
UUGCAGGAGCCUCCCGGGCUAGUCUGAUAGUAAUUCAUGAGGAAUUAAGCCCCAAAGCUCCUGCUAGAUUGGUGCCAUUCGUGUUGCAGUUCUGUCUCUAAUCUUAUCUGGCUUAACUGUGUCAAAGCAAUGUCUAGAUUU